GAUGAACGCUGGCGGCGUGCCUAACACAUGCAAGUCGAACGGAGUCCAGCCUUUAAGACCUUCGGGUCAAAGAGGGGAAGCCUGAGUGGCGGACGGGUGAGUAACACGUGGGCAACCUGGCUCAUAGAGGGGGAUAACAGAGAGAAAUUUCUGCUAAUACCGCAUAAGCACACCCUGCCGCAUGGCAGAGGGUGAAGAGAGAAUCGCUAUGAGAUGGACCCGCGUCUGAUUAGCCAGUUGGCAGGGUAAGAGCCUACCAAAGCGACGAUCAGUAGCCGAUCUGAGAGGAUGAACGGCCACAUUGGGACUGAGACACGGCCCAAACUCCUACGGGAGGCAGCAGUGGGGGAUAUUGCACAAUGGGGGGAACCCUGAUGCAGCGACGCCGCGUGAGUGAAGAAGUAUUUCGGUAUGUAAAGCUCUAUCAGCAGGGAAGAUAAUGACAGUACCUGAAUAAGAAGCCCCGGCUAACUACGUG
This 478-nucleotide ribosomal RNA is filed under the name uncultured bacterium. RNAcentral describes it as "partial 16S ribosomal RNA". It matches the Rfam family "Bacterial small subunit ribosomal RNA", at positions 28 to 507 of the family's 1533-position model. The record is from RNAcentral.